GUAAUUUAUUUCUCAGGGAUACUUUGUCCCUUCCUAGAGGCAUCUGUAUCAAGUGAAGAAACAUCAAAAAUUGGUAUUCUGAUCGAGAAAAGACAUAGAUGAGCUGGUGGGCUGGUAGUGGCUGGAGAAGCAGCAAGAAGAGCGGAGAAUCAAAACCCAAGCUCUGUCACCAGAGGAAAGCAAACGCUGCUUACAAAGCCAUGUCCAGCUCUGGUUCUCUCACCCUGUGUACUGAUCAGCCUGUCUGCAGAGAGCCUUGUGGUGCAGAAUUCUGUUUUAAUUUUUUUUUUUUAACCCAGGUGCAAGUUCCCACCACCGUUCAUGACCUGCUGUUUUAGAGGAUUUACUCUUCUAAGAUUGCUCCUGGCUUUUCUCACAGUAUGACAAGAAGAGCAGCAUCCAGCCUGUGUGUUACUAACACAUCUGCUCCUGGCCCUUCCCUGUGCACCUGCAGCAGCAAAGGCAGAGCCCGCUGACAUUGACUCCAUGUCCAGGAAAGUCUAGCCAGGCUCAUGUAACUCUUGAAUGGGGCAGGAGGAGGGCAUAACUCUUCUCAAAAUUUAUUAUUGAGGUCUCCAUGCUCUGGUCUCAUUAAAGCUGCAGUCAGUGCCGUUUCUGACAACGCAGUUGCACUGAGCUGUGCAACUGCACCACCAGUAUACAUGUUUAAAAAAAUAUCCUGUCAGAAAUUUCCUAAAAGAACAUCCUGUAGCUGGUGGUUUUGUGCCAAACAUGCUUCUACCACCACCUGAAAACCCACAUAAUGAUAAGAGAAUCUUCUUCCCAUGAGAGACAACUGGGCUGGGAAGUAUCCAGGAUUGUCUUAACAGGUGGUAACACUGGAUGGACAGUUGGAGGGAAGGAAUCAUUUCUACUAGUAUAAAAUGACUAGAGAGACUUAAAAAAUAUUUUCCUAAUAGGAAAUAGUCUUUCAAAACCUCUUCUGGAAGGCACUUACUAACAUACUACCUGAGUACUGUGUCUGAAGCAGAUCACUUGCUGACUUUCUGGGUAGGCUGUGAAAUUCUGAAACUUGCCUUAUUAUGUACAAUUCAAUGAUGCACAAUCACUAUAUAUUCCUCCUCAGCCUUGAUUUUCCAUUCUGUGGCUUUGGAUGAAUUCUGGGGGAAUACCUUUUUCCCAGGAAGUUUUUAGUGAGGC
Molecule: long non-coding RNA, 1161 nt
Filed under: Cyanistes caeruleus (blue tit)
Lineage: Eukaryota; Metazoa; Chordata; Aves; Passeriformes; Paridae
Description: lncRNA (ENSCCEG00000002331.1)
Source: RNAcentral